RNAcentral lists this ribosomal RNA (492 nucleotides) under uncultured bacterium. Its description in RNAcentral is "partial 16S ribosomal RNA". It matches the Rfam family "Bacterial small subunit ribosomal RNA", at positions 29 to 507 of the family's 1533-position model. The record is from RNAcentral.
AGUGAACGCUGGCGGUAGGCCUAACACAUGCAAGUCGAACGGCAGCACAGUAAUAGCUUGCUCUUACGGGUGGCGAGUGGCGGACGGGUGAGGAAUACAUCGGAAUCUACUUUUUCGUGGGGGAUAACGUAGGGAAACUUACGCUAAUACCGCAUACGACCUACGGGUGAAAUCAUGGGAUCUUCGGACCUUGCGCGAUUGAAUGAGCCGAUGUCGGAUUAGCUAGUUGGCGGGGUAAAGGCCCACCAAGGCGACGAUCCGUAGCUGGUCUGAGAGGAUGAUCAGCCACACUGGAACUGAGACACGGUCCAGACUCCUACGGGAGGCAGCAGUGGGGAAUAUUGGACAAUGGGCGCAAGCCUGAUCCAGCCAUACCGCGUGGGUGAAGAAGGCCUUCGGGUUGUAAAGCCCUUUUGUUGGGAAAGAAAAGCAGCAGGUUAAUACCCCGCUGUUCUGACGGUACCAAAAGAAUAAGCACCGGCUAACUUCGUG